GAUGAACGCUGGCGGCGUGCCUAAUACAUGCAAGUCGAGCGAACAGACGAGGAGCUUGCUCCUCUGACGUUAGCGGCGGACGGGUGAGUAACACGUGGAUAACCUACCUAUAAGACUGGGAUAACUUCGGGAAACCGGAGCUAAUACCGGAUAAUAUAUUGAACCGCAUGGUUCAAUAGUGAAAGACGGUUUUGCUGUCACUUAUAGAUGGAUCCGCGCCGCAUUAGCUAGUUGGUAAGGUAACGGCUUACCAAGGCAACGAUGCGUAGCCGACCUGAGAGGGUGAUCGGCCACACUGGAACUGAGACACGGUCCAGACUCCUACGGGAGGCAGCAGUAGGGAAUCUGCCGCAAUGGGCGAAAGCCUGACGGAGCAACGCCGCGUGAGUGAUGAAGGUCUUCGGAUCGUAAAACUCUGUUAUUAGGGAAGAACAAAUGUGUAAGUAAAUAUGCACGUCUUGACGGUACCUAAUCAGAAAGCCACGGCUAACUACGUG
RNAcentral lists this ribosomal RNA (497 nucleotides) under uncultured bacterium. Its description in RNAcentral is "partial 16S ribosomal RNA". It matches the Rfam family "Bacterial small subunit ribosomal RNA", at positions 28 to 507 of the family's 1533-position model. The record is from RNAcentral.